AUUGAACGCUGGCGGCGUGCCUAACACAUGCAAGUCGAGCGGUAACAGGUGUAGCAAUACAUGCUGACGAGCGGCGAACGGGUGAGUAAUGCUUUGGAAUCUUCCCAGUAGUGGGGAAUAACCAGUCGAAAGAUUGGCUAAUACCGCAUACGUCUGUAAAGGGAAAGCGGGGGCUCGUAAGACCUCGCGCUAUUGGAUGAGCCAAAGUCGGAUUAGCUAGUUGGGGGGUAAUGGCCUACCAAGGCGACAAUCCGUAGCUGGUCUGAGAGGACGACCAGCCACACCGGAACUGAGACACGGUCCGGACUCCUACGGGAGGCAGCAGUGGGGAAUAUUGGACAAUGGGGGAAACCCUGAUCCAGCGACGCCGCGUGUGUGAAGAAGGCCUGCGGGUUGUAAAGCACUUUUAGUGGGGACAAAAAGCUACGGAUUAAUACUCUGUGGUCUUGUAUUUAACCCAAAGAAAAGCACCGGCUAACUCUGUGCCAGCCGCCGCCGUAAG
Molecule: ribosomal RNA, 502 nt
Filed under: uncultured bacterium
Lineage: Bacteria
Description: bacterial SSU rRNA
Rfam family: Bacterial small subunit ribosomal RNA
Source: RNAcentral